Molecule: transfer RNA, 73 nt
Filed under: Sciaphila thaidanica
Lineage: Eukaryota; Viridiplantae; Streptophyta; Magnoliopsida; Pandanales; Triuridaceae
Description: tRNA-fMet
Rfam family: tRNA
About the family: Transfer RNA (tRNA) molecules are approximately 80 nucleotides in length.
Source: RNAcentral
UUCGGAGUGGAGCAGUUUGGUAGCUUAUAAGACUCAUGAUCUUUGGUCACAGGUUCAAAUCCUGUCUCCGUAA